RNAcentral lists this ribosomal RNA (2914 nucleotides) under Vibrio campbellii. Its description in RNAcentral is "23S ribosomal RNA". It matches the Rfam family "Bacterial large subunit ribosomal RNA". The record is from RNAcentral. Lineage: Bacteria; Pseudomonadati; Pseudomonadota; Gammaproteobacteria; Vibrionales; Vibrionaceae.
GUUGUAUGGUUAAGUGACUAAGCGUACACGGUGGAUGCCUUGGCAGUCAGAGGCGAUGAAGGACGUAUUAACUUGCGAUAAGCCCAGAUUAGGUAGUAAAAACCAUUUGAGUCUGGGAUUUCCGAAUGGGGAAACCCACUAGCAUAAGCUGGUAUCGCUGCGUGAAUACAUAGCGCAGCGAGGCGAACCGGGGGAACUGAAACAUCUAAGUACCCCGAGGAAAAGAAAUCAACCGAGAUUCCGAAAGUAGCGGCGAGCGAAAUUGGACUAGCCCUUAAGCUUUUUAUGCGUCAGGUGAAACUUCUGGAAAGUUGUGCGAUACAGGGUGAUAGCCCCGUAACCGGCAACGCAUUUAAAGUGAAAUCGAGUAGGGCGGGACACGUGAUAUCCUGUCUGAAUAUGGGGGGACCAUCCUCCAAGGCUAAAUACUACUGACUGACCGAUAGUGAACCAGUACCGUGAGGGAAAGGCGAAAAGAACCCCUGUGAGGGGAGUGAAAUAGAACCUGAAACCGUGUACGUACAAGCAGUAGGAGCACCUUCGUGGUGUGACUGCGUACCUUUUGUAUAAUGGGUCAGCGACUUAUAUUCAGUGGCAAGGUUAACCAUCUAGGGGAGCCGUAGGGAAACCGAGUCUUAACUGGGCGUUCAGUCUCUGGAUAUAGACCCGAAACCAGGUGAUCUAGCCAUGGGCAGGUUGAAGGUUGAGUAACAUCAACUGGAGGACCGAACCGACUAAUGUUGAAAAAUUAGCGGAUGACUUGUGGCUAGGGGUGAAAGGCCAAUCAAACCUGGAGAUAGCUGGUUCUCCCCGAAAGCUAUUUAGGUAGCGCCUCGGACGAAUACUACUGGGGGUAGAGCACUGUUAAGGCUAGGGGGUCAUCCCGACUUACCAACCCUUUGCAAACUCCGAAUACCAGUAAGUACUAUCCGGGAGACACACGGCGGGUGCUAACGUCCGUCGUGGAGAGGGAAACAACCCAGACCGCCAGCUAAGGUCCCAAAUUACUACUAAGUGGGAAACGAUGUGGGAAGGCUCAGACAGCCAGGAUGUUGGCUUAGAAGCAGCCAUCAUUUAAAGAAAGCGUAAUAGCUCACUGGUCGAGUCGGCCUGCGCGGAAGAUGUAACGGGGCUAAGUAGUAAACCGAAGCUGCGGCAAUGCACUUUGUGCAUUGGGUAGGGGAGCGUUCUGUAAGCGGUUGAAGGUGUGUGGUAACGCAUGCUGGACGUAUCAGAAGUGCGAAUGCUGACAUGAGUAACGAUAAAGGGGGUGAAAAACCUCCUCGCCGGAAGACCAAGGGUUCCUGUCCAACGUUAAUCGGGGCAGGGUAAGUCGACCCCUAAGGCGAGGCCGAAAGGCGUAGUCGAUGGGAAACGGGUUAAUAUUCCCGUACUUCUUACAAUUGCGAUGGGGGGACGGAGAAGGCUAGGUGGGCCUGGCGACGGUUGUCCAGGUUCAAGUGCGUAGGCUGAGAAAUUAGGUAAAUCCGGUUUCUCUUAAGGCUGAGACACGACGUCGAGCUACUACUGUAGUGAAGUCAUUGAUGCCAUGCUUCCAGGAAAAGCCUCUAAGCUUCAGAUUGUAAGGAAUCGUACCCCAAACCGACACAGGUGGUCGGGUAGAGAAUACCAAGGCGCUUGAGAGAACUCGGGUGAAGGAACUAGGCAAAAUGGUACCGUAACUUCGGGAGAAGGUACGCUCUCGACGGUGAAGUCCCUUGCGGAUGGAGCUAUUGAGAGUCGCAGAUACCAGGUGGCUGCAACUGUUUAUUAAAAACACAGCACUGUGCAAAAUCGUAAGAUGACGUAUACGGUGUGACGCCUGCCCGGUGCCGGAAGGUUAAUUGAUGGGGUUAGACUUCGGUCGAAGCUCUUGAUCGAAGCCCCGGUAAACGGCGGCCGUAACUAUAACGGUCCUAAGGUAGCGAAAUUCCUUGUCGGGUAAGUUCCGACCUGCACGAAUGGCGUAAUGAUGGCCACGCUGUCUCCACCCGAGACUCAGUGAAAUUGAAAUCGCUGUGAAGAUGCAGUGUACCCGCGGCUAGACGGAAAGACCCCGUGAACCUUUACUACAGCUUGGCACUGAACAUUGACCCUACAUGUGUAGGAUAGGUGGGAGGCUUUGAAACUAGUACGCCAGUAUUAGUGGAGCCGUCCUUGAAAUACCACCCUUGUAGUGUUGAUGUUCUAACGUCGACCCCUUAUCGGGGUUGCGGACAGUGCCUGGUGGGUAGUUUGACUGGGGCGGUCUCCUCCCAAAGCGUAACGGAGGAGCACGAAGGUGGGCUAAUCACGGUUGGACAUCGUGAGGUUAGUGCAAUGGCAUAAGCCCGCUUGACUGCGAGAAUGACAAUUCGAGCAGGUGCGAAAGCAGGUCAUAGUGAUCCGGUGGUUCUGAAUGGAAGGGCCAUCGCUCAACGGAUAAAAGGUACUCCGGGGAUAACAGGCUGAUACCGCCCAAGAGUUCAUAUCGACGGCGGUGUUUGGCACCUCGAUGUCGGCUCAUCACAUCCUGGGGCUGAAGUCGGUCCCAAGGGUAUGGCUGUUCGCCAUUUAAAGUGGUACGCGAGCUGGGUUUAGAACGUCGUGAGACAGUUCGGUCCCUAUCUGCCGUGGGCGUUGGAAGAUUGAAGGGGGCUGCUCCUAGUACGAGAGGACCGGAGUGGACGAACCUCUGGUGUUCGGGUUGUGUCGCCAGACGCAUUGCCCGGUAGCUAAGUUCGGAAUCGAUAACCGCUGAAAGCAUCUAAGCGGGAAGCGAGCCCUGAGAUGAGUCUUCCCUGAUACUUUAAGUAUCCUAAAGGGUUGUUCGAGACUAGAACGUUGAUAGGCAGGGUGUGUAAGCGUUGUGAGGCGUUGAGCUAACCUGUACUAAUUGCCCGUGAGGCUUAACCAUACAACACCCAAGGGGUUU